RNA transcript from Pongo pygmaeus (Bornean orangutan), 4822 nucleotides. It is a transcript of the gene named spindle and centriole associated protein 1, with no coding region annotated. The transcript has 20 exons. The record is from RefSeq and is a predicted model, not a curated record. Lineage: Eukaryota; Metazoa; Chordata; Mammalia; Primates; Hominidae.
AGGCAACAGCCCGGAAGCCGCAGGCUGGGUUAAUCUGUGGCGCGCUCCGCGGUUCCGGCGCCUGAAGUUUUAGUUGAGGUGGCGGCGGCAGUAGUCGGGACCGACUACAAGAUGUCAUUUGUCAGAGUGAACCGCUGUGGUCCCCGAGUUGGUGUAAGAAAGACACCAAAAGUAAAGAAGAAGAAAACUUCAGUGAAACAAGAAUGGGAUAAUACUGUGACUGAUCUAACAGUUCAUCGGGCAACUCCUGAAGAUCUGGUACGCCGUCAUGAAAUACACAAAUCAAAGAAUAGAGCAUUAGUACAUUGGGAACUCCAAGAAAAAGCUUUGAAGAGAAAAUGGAGGAAGCAGAAACCAGAAACUUUAAAUCUUGAGAAAAGAAGAUUGUCUAUCAUGAAGGAGAUUCUUUCUGAUCAAUACCAGAUGCAAGAUGUGUUGGAGAAAUCUGAUCAUCUAAUAGCUGCAGCAAAAGAGCUGUUUCCUCGUAGGCGCACAGGGUUUCCAAAUAUAACAGUGGCUCCUGAUUCCUCUCAGGGUCCCAUUGUGGUAAAUCAAGACCCUAUCACCCAAUCUAUCUUUAAUGAGUCUGUCAUAGAACCUCAGGCUCUUAAUGAUGUGGAUGGUGAAGAAGAAGGAACUGUUACUAGCCAGUCAGGAGAAAGUGAGAAUGAGAAUGAGUUGGAUAACUCUCUAAACUCUCAGUCUAACACGAAUACAGACAGGUUUCUCCAGCAACUAACGGAAGAGAAUUCUGAGUUAAUUAGUAAGUUGUGGACUGAUAUUCAGCAGAAAAUAGUAACCCAGUCACAAAUAACUCCUCCAGGAACGCCAUCAUCUGCUCUUUCAUCAGGGGAACAAAGAGCUGCUCUGAAUGCUACCCAUGCUGUCAACAGAUUCCAAACCAGGCUUCAGCCUGAAGAAUCUACUGAGACUCUAGACUCAAGCUAUGUUGUGGGACACGUGCUGAACUCAAGGAAGCAAAAACAGCUGUUAAAUAAAGUGAAAAGAAAACCGAAUUUGCAUGCUCUUUCCAAGCCAAAGAAAAACAUGUUAUCAGGUAGCACAACCUCUGCAGACUUACCAAAUAGGACAAAUUCCAACCUGGAUGUCCUCAAACACAUGAUACAUGAAGUGGAACAUGAAAUGGAAGAAUAUGAGCGGUGGACAGGUCGCGAGGUCAAGGGACUGCAGAGCAGUCAGGGUCUUACAGGCUUCACUUUGUCGCUGGUGAGCUCCCUCUGUCGCCUGGUUCGGUACCUUAAAGAGAGUGAGAUCCAGCUACGUAAAGAAGUAGAGACAAGACAACAACUGGAACAAGUGUUAGGUGAUCAUCGAGAGCUCAUUGAUGCUCUGACAGCUGAAAUUCUUCGUCUUAGAGAAGAAAACGCUGCUACACAGGCAAGACUUCAGCAGUACAUGGUCACAACAGAUGAGCAACUGAUAUCACUCACACAUGCUAUUAAGAACUGUCCUGUGAUAAAUAACAGACAAGAAAUUCAGGCAUCAGAAAGCGGAGCCACAGGUAGAAGAGUUAUGGACAGUCCAGAGGGUCCAGUUGUAAAUGCCAAUGUCUCAGUGCCAUUGAUGUUCAGAGAGGAAGUGGCUGAAUUCCCACAGGAACAGUUGCCUGUUAAACUGUCUCAGGUGCCAGACCCUCCAGAUAAGAUGAAUCUGGCCAAGAAUUUUCCAGCACAUAUUUUUGAGCCAGCUGUGUUGUUAACACCACCCAGGCAGAAGAGCAACUUAAAAUUCUCUCCUCUUCAGGACGUAUUGAGAAGGACUGUUCAAACUCGUCCUGCUCCACGACUUCUUCCAACUGUGGAAAUAAUUGAGAAGGAACAAAAUUGGGAAGAGAAGACCUUACCUAUUGAUACAGACAGUCAGAAUUCAAGUGAAGAGAAUCGUCUCUUCACUCAGAGAUGGAGAGUCUCUCAUAUGGGAGAAGAUUUGGAGAACAAAACUCAGGCGCCUUUUGUUAACCUCUCACAGCCCCUCUGCAGUUCCCAUUCCAACACUCAACAGUCAAGAAGCCCCACAUUUUCAGAAGAGCUCACAGUACUGGGAGAUGGGCAGCAGCUGAGAACAAAUGAGUCAUUAAUACAAAGAAAGGACAUAAUGACACGAAUUGCUGAUUUGACAUUGCAGAAUUCAGCUAUCAAGGCACAUAUGAAUAAUAUUAUUGAUCCCAGAGGAGAGCAAGGGGAUGGACUCCGGGAGUUGAACAAACAAGAAAGUGCAAGUGACAUGACUUCUACUUUUCCAGUAGCACAGUCUCUAACACCAGGUAGUAUGGAGGAACGGAUUGCAGAAUUGAAUCGACAAAGUAUGGAGGCUCGUGGAAAACUACUGCAGUUGAUAGAGCAGCAGAAACUUGUUGGUUUGAAUCUUUCUCCACCAAUGUCACCUGUUCAGUUACCUCUCAGAGCAUGGACUGAAGGAGCAAAGAGGACAAUUGAGGUAUCUAUUCCAGGAGCAGAAGCCCCAGAAAGCUCAAAAUGUAGUACUGUCUCUCCUGUCAGCGAGAUAAAUACAAGAAGAUCUUCCGGGGCUACUAGUAAUUCUUGUUCUCCACUAAAUGCCACCUCGGGAAGUGGGAGAUUCACACCUCUUAAUCCAAGAGCAAAGAUUGAGAAACAGAAUGAAGAAGGCUGGUUUGCUCUUUCUACCCAUGUAUCAUAAGUGAAGUCAAGUCUCACUGAGUUUGUUCUUAAUAAUUUAUUACUCCCCUUUCCCUGCUCUGACUUUUAAGUUUUUAUAUCCUUUCAGAUAAAACCUACAAAGAUCCUGUGAAUUAGUACUAAUGAAACAGGGAAAUAAAGCAAUUAUUUUUUGACUUUCUCAAAUAAGUUUUCAACAACCAGCUGACCUACAGCUCCCGGUGAAUGAAAUUUUGACUGUAGAGAAGUUAAAGUUUUGUAUUUUAAUACUUUCUUAAGUAUUUUAAGGGUCUUUUUUUUGAUUAAUACAUUUUUACCUUUAUCUUUUUUCAGGGCUUUUUGAGGUUUAGUGUAUCUUAGUUGAUCCAUUUAUUUAUUUAUUUUCCUAAAGAACUAAUUUGCUUUGCAUGUAACUUAUAAUAAAAUUCCUCUGUGUGAUUAGAGUCUGGCUUUCAGGAAAAUGUAACACCCACUUUUCUUUCUUUUUUCUUGGGAAGUCAUUGCUGUUCAUCACUUUGUCCAUCAGGUGAAAUAUACAGCCUUAAAAAAAAAUAGGCCUGGGAGUGUUUGUUUAUAUUUGCUUAAGCAGUGUCAUGAGGCGGAAAAGGCCCGACCAGAGGGCGGAUAGAUACCGGGUUCCCGGAAAGCUGGACGCCGGUCGCGCAUGCGCCCCACGGCCCGCCCUGGUUCCGCCUCCCUGGAAGACGGGGGCGUUGUCUCGGUAACCGGAGUAAACGGAGGCCUCCGGCAGAAGCUGUGAAGAGAGGAGCCACGGCGGUCAGUACCUUCGCUGUAUUUCACAUUGCAAAGUAAAAACCGAGAGCCUGUUUUAUACAUCAGUCACUGUGAAUCUUAAAUAACCACCUCUGGCACACUGCUGGGAUUGAGUGAGCUUGUGAGCGUGAGGACCAGAACCUGGACUCUGGUGAAUGAAUCAGAGUAACGUCACCUUAGAGAGCACUCUGUCUGGCAUCCAGCCAACCUUCUAGCAACACACUCCUCUGCAUCAAUGUGUACUAUUAUUUUCCCUUUUUCUUUAUACUUCCUUAGGGUUGACCCUGUCAACCUAAAUAACAUACAGAGAGCGGCUUUCUAAAAGAAGAUGAUGUUUAUUGAGGAGUAAGGCAUUGCAAUGGAAUAUGUGUGCCAUGGUAAACUAUAUGUGUGUUCAGGGAGGUAAAGGAAAACAAGGGUUUUAAAGGAAAAAUGAAAAAGACUACGUAAUUAUUUUGAGAUAAUUCUCCUUGGCUACAAAGAUCAACAGUAAGUGUGAUGCUAGUCUGAGGCUGGACAGGCAGUUGUUGGGCAGAUGUCCUUGCAGUAUUUUUUUUUUAUGUGUAAGGUUAUGAUGGCUUUUGUGCAAGGCUGUGGUCUUUUGGGAUAGUUAUCCAGCAUACAAGCGUGAGAACCCAUUCUUCAUAGCCUUCCCCAGCUCUAUUUGUCAGGGUUCUUUCUUAACACUGGUGACUCCAUUCUAAUUCUGACAACUUUCACAACUAAAAACUGCACAGUCUAUCUAAUGAGUUAGUUAAAAGAAUUGGCCAUAGGCUGGACGAAUAAGCCUGGAUCUAAUGAAACGAAAUUUAUGCUAGUCCUGCAAAUAGACUCCCAAACCUAGCUAGUUUACUGAUAGAAGGUAGAACAUGGUCUAGAACCCAAACUUAGACUGCCUUAAAGGAAUACAAUGAAUGUCCCCGAUAGGUGAAUUGGUAGUUCCUCUCUUCUGGAAAGUGUCCAGAUCCUACGAAGAACAUAUAAAAUUAGGAGGUAUAUAUGAUGCAUUGGGAAUUAACUUCUUGAGCUAUCAGGGUGGUAAAGAAAAGUUGGAAACAUGUCAUUGAGGAAUAAUUGAAAUAAUUGGGAUACUUUCUCUGGGAAAAGAGAAGAUCUGGAGAGAAAUGAGAGCCAACUACAAUUAUUUGAAUGGUUGAAGUACACAGAAAAACUUGUUCUGUGUGUUCUCGGAAGAAAAAAUAAGGGUCAAAUGGAUCCAAGUUGCAGGGAGGCAGAUUUCAGCUUAAUAUAAAAUGUACUAAGAACUAGAGCUGAGCAUGAACAGAAUGUGCUCACCCUCUUACCCGAAAUAUUUAAAUUGAAGCUGACUGACAAUCUUGUUCUUUCAUUUAUUCAGGAAUAUAUCAAUAAAUUCAUUCCUGCAACCAUUU